This 637-nucleotide ribosomal RNA is filed under the name uncultured bacterium. Its description in RNAcentral is "bacterial SSU rRNA". It matches the Rfam family "Bacterial small subunit ribosomal RNA", at positions 607 to 1244 of the family's 1533-position model. The record is from RNAcentral.
GCUCAACCGAAGAAGUGCAUAGGAAACUGGGAAACUUGAGUGCAGAAGAGGACAGUGGAACUCCAUGUGUAGCGGUGAAAUGCGUAGAUAUAUGGAAGAACACCAGUGGCGAAGGCGGCUGUCUGGUCUGUAACUGACGCUGAGGCUCGAAAGUAUGGGUAGCAAACAGGAUUAGAUACCCUGGUAGUCCAUACCGUAAACGAUGAAUGCUAAGUGUUGGAGGGUUUCCGCCCUUCAGUGCUGCAGCUAACGCAUUAAGCAUUCCGCCUGGGGAGUACGGCCGCAAGGCUGAAACUCAAAGGAAUUGACGGGGGCCCGCACAAGCGGUGGAGCAUGUGGUUUAAUUCGAAGCUACGCGAAGAACCUUACCAGGUCUUGACAUACUAUGCAGAUCUAAGAGAUUAGACGUUCCCUUCGGGGACAUGGAUACAGGUGGUGCAUGGUUGUCGUCAGCUCGUGUCGUGAGAUGUUGGGUUAAGUCCCGCAACGAGCGCAACCCUUAUUAUCAGUUGCCAGCAUUAAGUUGGGCACUCUGGUGAGACUGCCGGUGACAAACCGGAGGAAGGUGGGGAUGACGUCAAAUCAUCAUGCCCCUUAUGACCUGGGCUACACACGUGCUACAAUGGAUGGUACAACG